UGCUAGUUCAAAAAGAUAAUGACGUUGUAGAGUACCUUAUCCAUUACCUUACUAAAAUGUUCUUUCCCCAUGAAAUAAAUACAACUAGAUGAAGAAAACAUGUCUGGCAAUGAUCUAGGCCAUAAAGAUACUCAGACUUGACAUUUAAUCGUAUAAAUGUUGAGUGAUUUACAUAAUUGAUCCCAUAAAAUCUUUGUAUGAUGCACCCUUCAUGGCUAAAAUAUUAUCACGACAUUUUUUGUAAAAGAUAAUUUUAUUGAUU
Molecule: long non-coding RNA, 262 nt
Filed under: Carica papaya (papaya)
Lineage: Eukaryota; Viridiplantae; Streptophyta; Magnoliopsida; Brassicales; Caricaceae
Description: long non-coding RNA (CPAP_LNC007641)
Source: RNAcentral